UGUUGAAAUUUGGAGGUGGGCCUUAGGCCGAUUAGAGAAUUUCAGAAAAUCUACAAGGGCCCAUGUAGGUGGUGGUAUGGCAAGGUGGUGGGAGUUUAGUCCCACCCCGCUAGUGGAGGAGAGUUUGGACCCNNNNNNNNNNGGGAAAACAAGCCAGUGGUGAACUGAGGAGAGUAACUUUACUAACCCACUCCGUUGGAGAUGCAAUACUCUCGGAUACUGUAUGGUAGGAUGACUACUGUCUUAAUGUGUUCUAAAGCUUAUAUGUAAGCAAGAUGCUGUCCUACAGAGCGAUCUUUGGAGGAACACACCUAUAUGAGCUUGACUGCUGGUCACAGUCUAUGAGAUUUGGGUGAUCUCUAGUAAACUCAUGAAUAGGCCAGGAGUGUGACUAAUAUGCUCCACCUGAGGGGUCACCUUCGGCAGCCUAGUACUAGUAAGACUUGUGGUGAAGCUCCUUUACGCCAAACUGACAAUUCAAGGCAUAGUCCAUUGUUCAGUUGUGAAGGGGUGUAGCUACUUGUUCUAGGUGCAGCUCAACCUUAACAGGUCUUCACUGAAAUGCUGGUAUAUUAAAACAGUGAUUGGAACGAGGGAACACGAUGUGCCCUUGAGAUCUGGUGGGUGAUUGUUGAAAUUUGGAGGUGGGCCUUAGGCCCAUUAGAGAAUUUCAGAAAAUCUACAAGGGCCCAUGUAAGUGGUGGUAUGGCAAAGUGGUGGGAGUUUAGUCCCACCCCGCUAGUGGAGGAGAGUUUGGACCCCUUUAUAAGGGUCUCUCUUCCACAUGCUAUUGGAGAGUGAGAAGAGAAGGUGCCCUCGCGCACUCCUCCUCCGCCGC
This 838-nucleotide long non-coding RNA is filed under the name Hordeum vulgare. RNAcentral's name for it is "long non-coding RNA (HVUL_LNC010036)". Lineage: Eukaryota; Viridiplantae; Streptophyta; Magnoliopsida; Poales; Poaceae. The record is from RNAcentral.